GACUCUCGGCAACGGAUAUCUCGGCUCUCGCAUCGAUGAAGAACGUAGCGAAAUGCGAUACUUGGUGUGAAUUGCAGAAUCCCGUGAACCAUCGAGUCUUUGAACGCAAGUUGCGCCCGAAGCCAUUAGGUUGAGGGCACGUCUGCCUGGGCGUCACGCAUC
This 162-nucleotide ribosomal RNA is filed under the name Brassaiopsis mitis. RNAcentral describes it as "5.8S ribosomal RNA". It matches the Rfam family "5.8S ribosomal RNA". From Rfam's summary of the family: 5.8S ribosomal RNA (5.8S rRNA) is a component of the large subunit of the eukaryotic ribosome. It is transcribed by RNA polymerase I as part of the 45S precursor that also contains 18S and 28S rRNA. The record is from RNAcentral. RNAcentral also lists the same sequence under 19 other names. Lineage: Eukaryota; Viridiplantae; Streptophyta; Magnoliopsida; Apiales; Araliaceae.